This 46-nucleotide non-coding RNA is filed under the name Compsopogon caeruleus. The record is from RNAcentral. Lineage: Eukaryota; Rhodophyta; Compsopogonophyceae; Compsopogonales; Compsopogonaceae.
GGGUAGCUUUCACCCAGCAGCACUAUCGACUCCUAAGUGAACGUCA